This 251-nucleotide ribosomal RNA is filed under the name uncultured prokaryote. RNAcentral describes it as "partial 16S rRNA". It matches the Rfam family "Bacterial small subunit ribosomal RNA", at positions 525 to 775 of the family's 1533-position model. The record is from RNAcentral.
ACGUAGGAGGCGAGCGUUAUCCGGAUUUACUGGGCGUAAAGCGUGUGCAGGCGGUUUGGUUAGUUGGAUGUGAAAGCUCCUGGCUUAACUGGGAGAGGUCGUUCAAUACUGCCAGACUUGAGGAUGGGAGGGGGAGGGGGCAUUCCGAGUGAAGGGGGGAAAUGCGUAAAUCCUCGGAGCACCACCAGUAGAGAAAGCGUCCCACAGGGCCAUCUAUGACGGUGAGACCCGAUAGCUAAUGAAGCAAACGA